This 253-nucleotide ribosomal RNA is filed under the name uncultured bacterium. Its description in RNAcentral is "partial 16S ribosomal RNA". It matches the Rfam family "Bacterial small subunit ribosomal RNA", at positions 524 to 776 of the family's 1533-position model. The record is from RNAcentral.
UACAGAGGGUGCGAGCGUUAAUCGGAAUCACUGGGCAUAAAGCGCACGUAGGUGGCGGCGUAAGUCGGGUGUGAAAGUCAAGGGCUCAACCCUUGGAAGCCGGCCGAUACUGUCGGACUAGAGUCCGGAAGAGGCGAGUGGAAUUCCCGGUGUAGCGGUGAAAUGCGCAGAUAUCAGGAAGAACACCAAUGGCGAAGGCAGCUCUCUGGGACGGUACUGACGCUGAGACGCGAAAGCGUGGGGAGCGAACAGG